RNAcentral lists this ribosomal RNA (190 nucleotides) under Limosilactobacillus mucosae. Its description in RNAcentral is "Lactobacillus mucosae 16S rRNA. Bacterial SSU". It matches the Rfam family "Bacterial small subunit ribosomal RNA", at positions 1 to 158 of the family's 1533-position model. The record is from RNAcentral. Lineage: Bacteria; Bacillati; Bacillota; Bacilli; Lactobacillales; Lactobacillaceae.
UUUUAUAUGAGAGUUUGAUCCUGGCUCAGGAUGAACGCCGGCGGUGUGCCUAAUACAUGCAAGUCGAACGCGUUGGCCCAGCUGAUUGAACGUGCUUGCACGGACUUGACGUUGGUUUACCAGCGAGUGGCGGACGGGUGAGUAACACGUAGGUAACCUGCCCCAAAGCGGGGGAUAACAUUUGGAAACA